This 1332-nucleotide ribosomal RNA is filed under the name Triticum aestivum (bread wheat). RNAcentral's name for it is "partial small subunit ribosomal RNA". The record is from RNAcentral. Lineage: Eukaryota; Viridiplantae; Streptophyta; Magnoliopsida; Poales; Poaceae.
AUGGAGGUGGUAGCGGCUUUAGCCAAUGUUGAGGUUCCGGCGACUGGGAGUGUGACUGAGGUUACCGACAGGUCUGAGGCUGAGAGGGCGUCCAAGUGGGCGCGCAAGAAGGAAAGGAUGCUUUGCUGCCGUUGUGGUGAGAAGGGCCACUUCAUUGCUGAAUGCGUGGCAGAGCUGUGUGAGUCCUGUGGUAAGCCGGCACAUGCCUCGGGGGAUUGCCCGUUGUUGCGUGACCAGGCUCCGUCUUUGACUAUGUAUGGAGUUUAUUGUGCUGAGCUAAUGUUCUUUGAGUCCCCGGCAGCGAGAGAGACUCCGGAGGAGACUUUGAGCUUGACCACCGGGGUUGUCAAAGCUACUCAGGGUGAGGUUUCGGAGGCUCAGAUUGUGCAGAGGCUUCAGGAACUGGCACCGGGAGACUUCCAUUGGGAGCUCGUUCCUCUCGAGGCCAAGGUUUUUAAGGUGGAGUUUCCUUCAGUGGACGAUCUGCAGCGACUGUUGAGUUUUGGUUUAUGCAGAGUUCCUGGCACUAGGUGCAUUCUGGAGUUCCAUGAGUGGCAGCAGGUGGAACCUAAAGGAAAGCCGCUUACGCAGGUCUGGUUGCGGUUUUCGGGGGCUCCAUCUAAGCCUUUGCAGGAUGUUCGUGUCGUGGCCAGUAUGGGCAUUAUGGUUGGCAAGACGGAGAAAGUGGAUAUGGCCUUUACUCGUGCACAUGGAGUGGCCCGCAUCUUAGUGAGCAUUUUGGAUAUUGAGUUCGUGCCUGACGUGGUUAACUGGACUUAUAGAGGAGAGGUGUUUCCUCUUGAGAUCGAGUUUGAGGACGCUGCCCUGUUUGCUGAGGCAAUGAUUGGGAAUGAUGUUGACAUGCACGAGGGGGAAGACAGUGCGGGAGCUGAGGAGGCACCGACUGACGAGUCGACUCGUGAGGGGACUAACGGCUCUCGUCCUGUGGCUCAGACCGGGGAUGGAACCGGGGUUGAGCCGGCACCUUCACCAUCGGUGCCUAUGACUUCGUUGCGGUUCGGGUCCUUUGAGCCAGCCUCUGCCCCUCCCAGACUUUGGAGUGACCGGGUAGAUUCUGAUGAUGCGUUUGAGCAGUCACUACCUUUGUUGGCGUUCGAGGAUGCCGGUGGGCCACUGGCUGGAUGCUUGCUGCGGACAUCGUCGGUGAGGACUUUGGUUGGUUCCGGGGACGGGGAGUCGGUGGUUGCUCCACCGGAGGUCGACGUUUCGGCCCUAAUGGCUGCGGCUGAGGUGGGGCGUGGGGGAGGGGGUCGGGGCAGGUGGCUCCCACCUCCACCUUCACUAUCCCGACAUCGGCAUCGCUGGUCAUGA